This is a long non-coding RNA of Elaeis guineensis (African oil palm), 1357 nucleotides long. RefSeq lists it as uncharacterized. Lineage: Eukaryota; Viridiplantae; Streptophyta; Magnoliopsida; Arecales; Arecaceae. The record is from RefSeq and is a predicted model, not a curated record.
CAAUACUUAAAUUUUAUUAUUUUUUUUCUCGAGUAAUACAAUCCAAAUGCGUCGACUGCUACAAGGCAAUGUUUGCCGCCGCAUGCCAAAAGAAAAAGACAUGAGUAUCUCCACACAAGUCCAGGCCAACAAGGUCAGUCCUGCUAUUGGACUCCAAUGGACCCAAGGAAACGAACCUCGAAGCCCAUAUCCCAAGUCCAUGACUACCGACAAGCACCAAUGCGCCUGGAUCCGAUGCCGGUGGGUACCCUUUCUUCGCGUCAUUCUGUCGAAUACCUAGUAUGCACCUAGAUCGAGUCUGAGGAGACGGAAAACGGUGCCAUCUGGAGCAAGAGAGGAAGGGAUUGCUCACUGUGAUAGACGGUGGAGACUAAGACGUGAUCAGAUUAUGGACAGCAAUCAUUUGCAAUGCCGCCAUCCAUGGGGCAACACAUUCAACCAACCAAAUCUAGGCAUCCACCAAUCACCAGCUCAGAAUCCAGAUUUGACGGCAACAGAAACAUCCGGUGGAAGAAGCCGAGCAUCGACUCACAUGCAAAAACCAAGCAGCAUCUCCAUCUUUUCAGAGUUGUGAGCUGAGCCCUUCAUGGCCAAAAUGUAGCCUCUCUCUUCCAUUAUUGUGCACUCUAUUUGAUUCACUGAACCCAUUCACGGUAACGAGUUAUCCCUUGGUUCUGUUGCAAAUUGAUUGAGAGAAGCAGAAGCAAUGUGACUCAAUUCAGUGACCACGCACUCCCAUGCAUGAAUGAAAGGCCAUGUACAAUUAAAAAGGAGCAGGAUAAUGGGAUGGCAGGCAGCAAAUGAAUGCUGACUUGUGUCUGAGCUGAGAGAAUGGCAGGUGAACAGAUACUACAUUUCUGGAUCUUAUUUCCUCGUUGCCAAUGAUUAGCUUGAUGGUCUUUAAUCAUUACAGAGUUGCGUCCUUGACCAACCAUGGGUCCCUGACCAGAAAGUAGUUGCUAGCCCGGUGAUAUGAUUGGCAUGUCAUUUGGUGUCUGUACGGGGUUAUGAAUACAUUAAACUGAGCAUCAAAUGAUAGAAUCCAGCUAUUGCUGAGUAGAUACCGGUGGAAAGAGCCCACAACAGCUUCUGUAAGGACUGUGUUCUAUGGGGAGAAUGGAAUAUUGGCUGGACUAAUCUAUAUUGAUGAUUCAUCAAAUAUAAUUAUAUGAUACUCUGUUUAAUGACCAAGUAGUUCUUGGAUUAUCUUAUGUCGGAUCCAUCGAUUAAGAGCUUUUCUAGGCCCUACAACAGUGGGCCUGACUUUGCAGCCGAUCGUAAUGAUUGUGGACCUGGGCUUUUUGUGAAUCCUGUUGUUGUGAUUCUGGGCCUCAAGUUUAUAGGAGCAAGGAAUACA